Long non-coding RNA from Synchiropus splendidus (mandarinfish), 814 nucleotides. RefSeq lists it as uncharacterized. NCBI's taxonomy places the organism in Eukaryota, Metazoa, Chordata, Actinopteri, Syngnathiformes, Callionymidae. The record is from RefSeq and is a predicted model, not a curated record. The transcript is spliced from 3 exons.
CGGUGGGAGCUGUAGUUCUGGCGCGAACUAAACACAGUUUUCACCUCGAUAAACUGAACGGACGUCUUUCAUGACGACUCAGCACGGUCUUUAUUAUAAAUAGCAACGGAUUCAGUGAUAGCCUCACCCUUUGUUUGAUUUCAAAGUGUCAAGAGACGAAACUGUGCAACCGCACUUACUACAGAGACCAGCAUGCACCGCGACCAGAGACGUUUGUUGUGUAAGGAAACGAGCAGAGUCAUGACUGACAGUUCGAGCCUAGCGAUUAUUAUCAACUUUGCUUUGUGUUGGUGCUCUUCUGUUCUCUUAUAAUAUUACGUGUGACGUAUCACGUGUAACGUUUGGUCAUACAUAAAAUUUCACCAAGCGUUAUAAUCUGUGGCGAAUCUGCUUUUGUGUGAACAACAGUUGAAUACAACCGUACGAUGUCUCGUCAACACCAACAACAAACAUCUCUGGACGGAGUUCCUGGGAAGUUUAGCUGGAGAUACCAGGGUUGUCCGUCGGCUCUCAAGUGCCUAUAAAGGGAGAGGAGAACCUGGAGUAAACCUGUGCGCCUGAUGAGGGAGAAGCAUGAUGUACCUGAGAGCGUUCACAAGUCCCUCUACGCUGCUGACCGGCUGUUCUCUUAACACUCGGAUACACCCUUUCAUCUGGACACAAUGAAUCUCAUGCAGGUCUGGACUCACAUCAGACACAAACUUGAUGGUGGCAUCGCUGAGUGUCUUCAGCAUCGGCGUGGCUCCGGCGUAGAAAAGAGACAUGCGGUUGGCCAGCUCGUUGUUGACCUCGCCGGCGCUGUCAACCUGAAGAG